AGUACUAUACUGUAUGUGUACAUUACAGUACAGUACUGCAGUUCAUAAUGCAUUCUGGGUAAAUUUGUUUGAGCGGGAAAAUUUUACAGUAUAUUUUGGUCUUGAUGUAACCUUGCUGUAGCCAUUGCUGUAAUGUGCCAGGUGUACUUGCAAUAAUCAGUGAAAGUGCGCCAACGUCAAAUCACACAGACAGAGGGAGAGCACAACUCUUGGCUGCAGCUGAAGGAGGACGAUUGAUUUCUGUCAGUUCGUCUUACCAUUGCUUGUAAGCUGGAUUGGGUAAGAUGGAUCAUCUUUAAAGGAACCAGGAGUUAAGGCAGAUGUGGAGGCACAACGGGUGAUACCAGACACACACCAAGCACAUUAUGUUCGGACAUUCAAUCAUGACAUGAUCCAUGUGGAUGCUGUCCAUUGAGGAAAGAGUUUGUUCCGAGGUUUCUGGAUAGAAUUAAUUCCAAAGAUGGGAAAAAAUGCACAUCCAGACAAGGAGCAAGCAAAAAGACAAGGAACUUGGUGCAGAGAAAAGCUGUGGCCAUUAACCCCCAUGUGAACAGCUUCAUGCAGUCCCUGAUUGAGUUCGAAUGGACGACUUCAAAGUAAAGGCCACUGUGGUCUGUCUGCCAGUUUAAUGCAUUUAUUUUUAGUGUUAAAUGAAAUUCAAGUAGAAUAUUUAAAACUAUGGGCCAGUGUUCUUUUUACCACAGUGAAAUGUUACCUUUUAGUCGAUGAUGGACUUUAAACUGAAAACUUCAAACUAUGGAACAGUGUUCUAUUUGCCAGAGUUAAAUAUGUUACAGCAGGGGUCUCCAAACUUGUUUAUACUUGUUGAUUUUAUUUUAUGUUACUUGAUUAUAUGUUUAUUAUUGUUUAAAAUCUUGUUUUAAAUGUUUUGUUUCAAUUAAAUGUUUUUUUAAAUAAAAUUUUGAUACAAACAUUGCUUGGAUUGCCUUUUAAUUCAUUAUGUCAUGUCAAGGAUAGCAUUUUUACCAUAUUAAUAACUAUAGAUUUAAACCUAAAUCUCUAUCUAUUUUAUAUAAUAUUAUUGUAUUAACUGUAAUAAGUAAUAAAUAGUAUUUAUGGGUCAAUAUAGACAUUACAGUAAAUUACUGUAAAAAUAGACUACUGUAAUAAAAUAUUGUAAAAUUACAGUACAGUACUGCUUUGUAACUAUACAGUACUAGUUUGUGUACUGUAAAAUGGUAUUACAGUACAGUACUGUAAACCCAAAAUACAGUAACUUACUGGCAACCGUGCUGCCAGUACCGUACUGUA
Non-coding RNA from Paramisgurnus dabryanus, 1272 nucleotides. NCBI's taxonomy places the organism in Eukaryota, Metazoa, Chordata, Actinopteri, Cypriniformes, Cobitidae. The record is from RefSeq and is a predicted model, not a curated record.